ACAAAUUCUCCUUAGCAGUCCUCUCGCCCUGAAAAAAAACGAAAGAAACUCUUACAAAUCCAACGGUCAACGCUCAGCAUAAGCUCGCUCAGUGGGAUCUAAAAAGAUGAAUAAGCUCUUUACUUUGCCAUUAACAGUCUUUUUAUCUCUGGUUCUAUUAGUGGGAGAGGCGAAAACUAUUGACCCUUACGAGGUUCUUGGGGUUGAGAAGAACGCAAGUCAACGUGAAAUACAGAAAGCCUUCCACCAGUACAUUCUGUCUUUCUCCCUUCACUUUCUGUUCUUGUUUCAAAAACUCUGGCAAUGUUGUUCUUUGAACUCUUGAUUUUGUCCCUUUCUACUCUAGAUGCAUUUAUUGACUAUGCUUUUGAAUGUAUCAGAGUCAGAGCAGUUAUACUUGAUUGUUUGCUUUCCUUGUAUAUUUGCUUGAAGAAUAUUGGUAUUGCUUUAGCCUCAAGUUUUGGGUCCUUAACAUGUGUUUGGAGGACAAACUUUAGGCUUGGUCCUUUCCUUCGGUGGAUCAAGCAUUCUUAGUAUUAAUGAUUUAUGAAGUCCCAUGGUGGGUAUGAUGGUGCAAUAAAAUGUAGUACUAAUGGAAGUACUGCAGAAGGACCUGGCUUUUGUGUCAGUGUUACAGAGAUAUAAAUUUGUGUUUAUCUGAGCCAUUAUACAGAAGAAGAUAUCCAGAAGAUCUUGAUGAUGCGAUUUAAUAUUUAACAUGUUUGAAUUUUCUUUUGUAUUUCUUGCUUUUCUUGUUCACCAGUUUGUAUGUGAUGCAUAAUAUGUGCCGCUUGCAAGCAAAAUUUGUUUGAGAUAUGUGACAAACAAGAAAUUAGAAAGGCCUAUUUCGGGUUCACUCAGAACUUUGGCAACCACCAUUGGAGGUGUGAUGUAAAGUGCCUGAUUUGGGAUGUUCUGGUCAUUUAUUUAGUCUGUGUUGCAUAUUGUUAUCUUGUCUGAUGAUAUGAGACAUCUGUUACAUGUAUAUCAUUAUAUUGGCAUUAUAUACAUGAUUUUGCUUACAAAGUGACUCACAGAAACCCGACCCACCCAAAUAUUUGUGUGGCAUGUCUAAUUGCUCAUCAUGCGUGCAAUUAUCUUUUUGUAGGCUUUCUCUUCAAUAUCAUCCUGACAAGAAUAAAAAUAAGGGUGCUCAAGAGAAGUUUGCUGAGAUUAAUAAUGGUAAGUGUCUGUCACUUGCUAACUCAUUUUCUUGCUGAAGCACUAGUAAUACUCAUGUGUGCUGGGUUUCUGUUUAAAUAAAGUUUUAGUUGAUCUUAGUGUUUGGUUGAUUAGUUACAGGUCUGAACUAAAAUGCUAUCUGAGGAACAUCUUCUGGGCAUGAGAAGAUCAUAUUGUCACUUCAUAAAUCAAUUAGAUCAACAAAAACUGGAUUUUUAGUUUUUUCUGUUCUGCAUGGUUACUAAUGAUUUUCCUGUUCUAAUAUAAUUUUCACUAAUAUUUUUUUAAAACCAGCAUAUGAGAUUCUAUCAGAUGAAGAGAAAAGGAAAAAUUAUGAUCUAUAUGGAGAUGAAAAGGGCAAUCCUGGAUUUGAUGCUGGCUAUCCUGGGGACCAGGGUGGAUAUACUUAUUUUAAAGGCGGUAGACACAGGCAAAAUCGGUUUACAUUCAGGCCAGAUGAAUGGCAAAACAUGGAGGGGCAGGGAGGUUCCCAAUCAUUCUCAUUUUCCUUUGGUGGUCCUAGUGCUCAGAGUUCUUUUGGUUUUGGCCUGAAUGAUAUUUUCUCCAAUAUUUUUGGUGGUGAUGGUGGUGGCAAUCAGUUUGGUGGUUUCAGUGGUUUUUCCAGGUCUCAAUCCAGUUUUCACUCUGGCUCUAGAAGCUCCCCUAAGGGUUUCAAGCCUAUAAAUUCUAAAAUUUUCAGGAAAGAAAUUGCUGACCAAGGCAUGACUUGGCUUUUGUUAUCCUAUACUCCCCCUUUGAGGGGGAGCCGUUAUGAAUCAAUCAUACUGGAGGUUGCUGUUUCAUUGCAAGGAGCUCUAAAGGUAGGAAGCAUUAAUUGUGAAACUGAAAAGUCCUUUUGUACUGAGCUUGGCAUACAUCCCCACCAAGAACCUAGGGUAUUUGUCUACUCAUACAAAGCAAAUGAUAAGGGUUCUUUGGUGGAAUACAAUGGUGAUUUGCUUGCUAGGAAUUUGAAGACUUUUUGCCAAGAACAGUUGCCAAGGUUUUCAAGGCGGAUUGAUCUGAAACACCUUGAGACUUCCUCUGGUAGCAGGGAAAAACUCCCCAGAGUUUUGCUUCUCUCCACCAAAAAAGAUACACCUGUGAUCUGGCGUGUCCUUAGUGGCUUAUAUCAUAAUCGCUUCAUUUUCAAUGAUGCAGAGGUUCAUGGUGUUAGUGAUCCAAUGGUAAAGAAGUUGGGAGUUGAUGCACUUCCAGCUAUAGUUGGUUGGUUAUCAAAUGCGGAAAAGCAUGUCUUAAAAGCAGGGAUUUCUGUGAAAGAUUUGCAAUCUGCAAUUCAAGAUCUUAGUACCUUGCUUGAUGGGUUUGAUAAAAAGAAUAAGAAGAAAGCAUCAAGUCAGGCCAGAAAGCAGAAUGAUCCUGUUGAGGAACACUUACCUUUGCUGACGAGUUUGAAUUUUGAUGCUCUAUGUGGGGAAAAGAACCCUGUUUGCAUCAUAGGUGCUUUCAGAACUUCAAAAGCAAGGGAGAAACUGGAAUCCAUUUUAGCUACGGUAAGUAGAAAUUUUCUAGUAUUGAUAUAUGAUUCACUUAGUUGAAGAAAAAGCGGGUUUUAUAGCUUGUUGUUUCACCUCUUUUAUUUUAUUCUCACUUUUUCAUCAUUUCAUAAUGAUAAACAUAUCACCCUUGUAUUUAUGUUGAGUUAAAAAAGGUUAGAAACUAAUUUCAAUAUAUAUUAACUCAUAGGUACUUUGAAACAAAUAUAAGUAUAUUGUCCAAUCUGGUGCUCUUUCUCAGCAUCUCCUCCGCUGAAAAUAAAUGAAAUUGAGUGGAUAGUUUGCUACACUUAAUGUUUGAUCUUUGAACCAUCGAGUCUCGACAGCACAUUUCUGUCUCUAGCUGACUUAAAAAUAUUAACAGUGCUAAUCAAAUAUCUGCAAGAUGAAUACUUAAUAUUUCACUGUGCUUUUAUUUAUUUUUCGUGGGAAGUUGAGAUGCCAAAUUGCAGACAUUAAUUAAAUUUUUGUGAGAAGAAUGUGGAAAAAUAAAAUGAUGUACGACUGAUUUUCUUGUUUGCUGCAUGGUUUGUAUUCUUAGGUCUCUCAAAAAUCAUUUUCAAGGCAACGAGCAGCAGCAUCUGGAUGUAGGGAUUCUAUUACCUAUGCUCUCUUAGAUGCAAACAGGCAGCCAGCAUUCUUAAAUGCAUUUGAAAAAUCUGGAUUCAAGUGGUCAGAUAAGGUAUUGUUGGCCUACAAACCUCGAAAGAGGAAAUAUGUCACCCUGGAGAGUGAAAUGACUGCAGAAGAAGUGGAGAGAUUUAUUAGCUCUGUUCUUAAUGGAGAUAUACAAUUUACCAAAACGAGACAGAAGCCAGUGAUCAAAUGAGACGGGUAAUGUUAACAAAUUAGAAUCAGAUUUCUGAUCUGAUGUACAGGUAUAGGUUACGGCUUUGCUGUUGAAGUUAGAAGUCCGUGAUCAACAGAGUGAAAAUCAUGAUCACUGGAGUGUAUACGUAUAGGUUACUUCGGCUUUGCCAGGAAGUUGCUGCAUGUUCGAGAG
Molecule: unclassified non-coding RNA, 3702 nt
Filed under: Hevea brasiliensis (rubber tree)
Lineage: Eukaryota; Viridiplantae; Streptophyta; Magnoliopsida; Malpighiales; Euphorbiaceae
Source: RNAcentral